Molecule: ribosomal RNA, 582 nt
Filed under: uncultured bacterium
Lineage: Bacteria
Description: bacterial SSU rRNA
Rfam family: Bacterial small subunit ribosomal RNA
Source: RNAcentral
GUUUGAUCAUGGCUCAGGAUGAACGCUAGCGGCAGGCUUAACACAUGCAAGUCGAGGGGUAUAGGUUUUCGGACCUAGAGACCGGCGCACGGGUGCGUAACGCGUAUGCAAUCUACCUUUUACAGAGGGAUAGCCCAGAGAAAUUUGGAUUAAUACCUCAUAGUAUUAUUGAAUGGCAUCAUUUAAUAAUUAAAGUCACAACGGUAAAAGAUGAGCAUGCGUCCCAUUAGCUAGUUGGUAAGGUAACGGCUUACCAAGGCAACGAUGGGUAGGGGUCCUGAGAGGGAGAUCCCCCACACUGGUACUGAGACACGGACCAGACUCCUACGGGAGGCAGCAGUGAGGAAUAUUGGUCAAUGGGCGCAAGCCUGAACCAGCCAUGCCGCGUGCAGGAUGACGGUCCUAUGGAUUGUAAACUGCUUUUGUUCAGGAAGAAACAGUUCUACGUGUUAGAACCUUGACGGUACUGUUAGAAUAAGGAUCGGCUAACUCCGUGCCAGCAGCCCCGGGUAAUACGGAGGAUCCAAGCGUUAUCCGGAAUCAUUGGGUUUAAAGGGUCCGUUAGGCCGUUUUGUUAAUUCA